Molecule: unclassified non-coding RNA, 376 nt
Filed under: soil metagenome
Description: partial contains 5.8S ribosomal RNA, internal transcribed spacer 2, and large subunit ribosomal RNA
Rfam family: 5.8S ribosomal RNA (bases 1-120)
Source: RNAcentral
GAUGAAGAACGUAGCGAAAUGCGAUAAGUAAUGUGAAUUGCAGAAUUCAGUGAAUCAUCGAAUCUUUGAACGCAUCUUGCGCUCCUUGGUAUUCUGAGGAGCAUGCUUGUUUGAGUGUCAUUAAAUUCUCAACUACACUGACUUUGAAUUGGUGUGGCUUGGAUUUGGGGGGAAAAUUGUUGUGGGCUUUUUGUAUAGUCUGCUCCCCUGAAAUUGAUUAGCGGUACCUUUGUGGAACUGUCUACAGGUGUGAUAAUUAUCUACAUCUUAGACAUCUGCUGGAAUGCUGCUUUCUAAACCUUCCUUGUAUUGACAAUCUUGACCUCAAAUCAGGUAGGACUACCCGCUGAACUUAAGCAUAUCAAUAAGCGGAGGA